RNAcentral lists this ribosomal RNA (490 nucleotides) under uncultured bacterium. RNAcentral describes it as "partial 16S ribosomal RNA". It matches the Rfam family "Bacterial small subunit ribosomal RNA", at positions 28 to 507 of the family's 1533-position model. The record is from RNAcentral.
GAUGAACGCUAGCGAUAGGCUUAACACAUGCAAGUCGAGGGGCAGCAUGGUCUUAGCUUGCUAAGACUGAUGGCGACCGGCGCACGGGUGCGUAACGCGUAUGCAACUUGCCUCACAGAGGGGGAUAACCCGUCGAAAGACGGACUAAUACCGCGUACACUCCAUCUUGGGCAUCCAAGGUAGAGGAAAUGAAAUUCGCUGUGAGAUAGGCAUGCGUCCCAUUAGCUAGUUGGUGAGGUAACGGCUCACCAAGGCGACGAUGGGUAGGGGAACUGAGAGGUUGAACCCCCACACUGGUACUGAGACACGGACCAGACUCCUACGGGAGGCAGCAGCGAGGAAUAUUGGUCAAUGGGCGAGAGCCUGAACCAGCCAAGUCGCGUGAAGGAUGACUGUCUUAUGGAUUGUAAACUUCUUUUAUACGGGAAUAACAAGAGUCACGUGUGACUCCCUGCAUGUACCGGAUGAAUAAGCAUCGGCUAACUCCGUG